This 1474-nucleotide long non-coding RNA is filed under the name Heterocephalus glaber (naked mole-rat). RNAcentral describes it as "lncRNA (ENSHGLG00100036632.1)". Lineage: Eukaryota; Metazoa; Chordata; Mammalia; Rodentia; Bathyergidae. The record is from RNAcentral.
UUUUUUUUUUUGGUACCGGGGAUCGAACUUGGGUCCUUGCGCUUGCGCAGCAGGCAGCAAAACCACUGAGCUAAAUUCCCGGCCCAAAGGGGGGGUUUUAAUGGAUUCAGCAUCCUGGAUUGGAUAUGAGCUGCUAUUUGGUUAGGAGGCCCCUGACCACUGGCUUCUCUGCCUCAGGUGGAGACAGAUUACUGUCUGCUGCUGGCUCUGCCAUGUGGUCGUGACCAAGACGACGUGGUAAGCCAGACAGAGUCUCUUAAGGCUGCCUUCAUCACUUACCUGCAGGCCAAGCAGGCGGCAGGGAUCAUCAACGUUCCGAACCCUGGCUCCAAUCAGCCCGCCUAUGUGCUGCAGAUCUUCCCGCCUUGUGAGUUCUCUGAGAGUCACCUUUCCCGCCUGGCCCCUGACCUCCUUGCCAGUGUCUCCAACAUCUCUCCCCACCUUAUGAUUGUCAUUGCCUCUGUGUGAGCCACGGGACCGAUCACCACCUCAGGAGUAAUUUCCCGAGGUUCUGCCGCAAAAAUGAACACCAGACUACCCAGUCAGGCAGAGGGAGCACCUGCGGAGGGGACAGACCCCACUGCCAGACACUGGCCUCCUCGACCACCCAGCUCCCAGGGACGGAUCUCCCUGGGUGGUGGUGCUGCUGCCUUGUAUGUUUACACGAUGCUGUCGCCCAUGGGACGUGCCACCAACUGAGGGACUCACAGACACCUUGGGGCUGGGUUUCUUUUUUUUGAGAAAAGGAAUAGGGCAGUGGAAUUUUUUGUUUUCGUUUUUAAGAAACAAAACAGGACUGCCUUUGCACUAAAUUAGUGACUUGGACUUUUGCACAGUGAAGACAGGCUGUGACACUGACAGACGUCUUGGUGUGUAUGAACACGUCACAGACGCUAAUGCAGGACCGGGAACUUCUGCUGAAACCUUGGGGUCAAGGAACAUUUCAUUGGGUUUUUUUGCCCCACCUUCUCUUCUUUGCUCAUUGGACAUCACCUUUAACUCUCCUGCUGCCACCACGUUUGGCUCACCAGGAUGUACAGUUUACAGUGGAACAGGAGCAAACACAGGAUUUCCUUUCUUGGUGGGAUAUGCAGAACUUGGGAUGUGUGUAUAUAUAAAUAUAUAAUAUAUAUAAAUAUAUAUAAUACUGACUUAAAAAUCAAAUUUCCCCAACAUACAUUUUUUUUAAUCUGUGCCAAAAAAUGUGUUUUCAGAGAAAAUCUUAUUUUCAUACUCAGACUUUGUAUUGUCACUCAUUUGUAUAAGUGCGCUUCAUGACAGCACGGGCGCUGCUCCCGCUUCGUGGAAGUGUCACACAGCACCUGUACAGAAAGACUGGCCAACCUUCUUCCUGUGACCCAGACCUCUCCCACUUCCUAACACUUAUUAAUUUAUGAAACUGUUUUCUCAGCGCAGUUUUGUUUUGUGUGUCCAUUGGAUUACAAACUUUAUUAAAAAAUACAAAACACCUCAA